Molecule: ribosomal RNA, 919 nt
Filed under: uncultured bacterium
Lineage: Bacteria
Description: bacterial SSU rRNA
Rfam family: Bacterial small subunit ribosomal RNA
Source: RNAcentral
AGAGUUUGAUCCUGGCUCAGAUUGAACGCUGGCGGCAGGCUUAACACAUGCAAGUCGAACGGUAGCAGGAAGAAAGCUUGCUUUCUUUGCUGACGAGUGGCGGACGGGUGAGUAAUGCUUGGGAAUCUGGCUUAUGGAGGGGGAUAACUGUGGGAAACUGCAGCUAAUACCGCGUAUUCUCUGAGGAGGAAAGGGUGGGACCUUAGGGCCACCUGCCAUAAGAUGAGCCCAAGUGGGACUAGGUAGUUGGUGGGGUAAAGGCCUACCAAGCCUACGAUCUCUAGCUGGUCUGAGAGGAUGGCCAGCCACACUGGAACUGAGACACGGUCCAGACUCCUACGGGAGGCAGCAGUGGGGAAUAUUGCACAAUGGGGGGAACCCUGAUGCAGCCAUGCCGCGUGAAUGAAGAAGGCCUUCGGGUUGUAAAGUUCUUUCGGUGAUGAGGAAGGUGUUUUGUUUAAUAGACAAAGCAAUUGACGUUAGUCACAGAAGAAGCACCGGCUAACUCCGUGCCAGCAGCCGCGGUAAUACGGAGGGUGCGAGCGUUAAUCGGAAUAACUGGGCGUAAAGGGCACGCAGGCGGAUUGUUAAGUGAGAUGUGAAAGCCCCGGGCUUAACCUGGGAAUUGCAUUUCAGACUGGCAGUCUAGAGUAUUUUAGGGAGGGGUAGAAUUCCACGUGUAGCGGUGAAAUGCGUAGAGAUGUGGAGGAAUACCGAAGGCGAAGGCAGCCCCUUGGGAAUAUACUGACGCUCAUGUGCGAAAGCGUGGGGAGCAAACAGGAUUAGAUACCCUGGUAGUCCACGCUGUAAACGAUGUUGAUUUGGGGAUUGGGCUUUAAGCUUGGUGCCCGUAGCUAACGUGAUAAAUCAACCGCCUGGGGGAGUACGGCCGCAAGGUUAAAACUCAAAGGAAUUGACG